GGGUCCGUAAAGGUUUCGACGGGGAUUUUGAGGCAUGAUAAGCGUGGCGGGCUGAGUAAUCCCGAUAACUGCUCAAACUAAAAUUAAACGCUGACAGAAAAACUGUAGCUCUGGCCGCCUGAUAAAGGCGGUGCCGUGGCGAUAGAUCGCCACCCGUUCCCCGUGAGAGUAUCGCGGCUCGCGGCGAGCGUCACGUAAGCGGUGAACGUGCACCGGCCUUUCGUCCUUGAACCGGUCACGCAUCAAAGGGCUGCUCCAAACGCGAGCCUGUCUGCCGGCACGCGCGCGGAGGAGAACAAUAUAGACAGAAUGCCCACGGAGAAAGUCAUGUCAAGAGAUUUUCGGACAGGGGUUCGACUCCCCUCGGAUCCACCA
Molecule: transfer-messenger RNA, 375 nt
Filed under: bovine gut metagenome
Rfam family: transfer-messenger RNA
About the family: Bacterial tmRNA, also known as 10Sa RNA or SsrA, is named for its dual tRNA and mRNA-like properties. Its role is to liberate the mRNA from a stalled ribosome.
Source: RNAcentral